This 1308-nucleotide ribosomal RNA is filed under the name uncultured Helicobacter sp. RNAcentral's name for it is "bacterial SSU rRNA". It matches the Rfam family "Bacterial small subunit ribosomal RNA", at positions 103 to 1439 of the family's 1533-position model. The record is from RNAcentral. Lineage: Bacteria; Pseudomonadati; Campylobacterota; Epsilonproteobacteria; Campylobacterales; Helicobacteraceae.
CGGGUGAGUAACGCAUAGGUCAUGUGCCUCUUAGUUUGGGAUAGCCAUUGGAAACGAUGAUUAAUACCAGAUACUCCCUACGGGGGAAAGAUUUAUCGCUAAGAGAUCAGCCUAUGUCCUAUCAGCUUGUUGGUAAGGUAAUGGCUUACCAAGGCUAUGACGGGUAUCCGGCCUGAGAGGGUGAACGGACACACUGGAACUGAGACACGGUCCAGACUCCUACGGGAGGCAGCAGUAGGGAAUAUUGCUCAAUGGGGGAAACCCUGAAGCAGCAACGCCGCGUGGAGGAUGAAGGUUUUAGGAUUGUAAACUCCUUUUGUUAGAGAAGAUAAUGACGGUAUCUAACGAAUAAGCACCGGCUAACUCCGUGCCAGCAGCCGCGGUAAUACGGAGGGUGCAAGCGUUACUCGGAAUCACUGGGCGUAAAGAGCGCGUAGGCGGGAUAGUCAGUCAGGUGUGAAAUCCUAUGGCUUAACCAUAGAACUGCAUUUGAAACUACUAUUCUAGAGUGUGGGAGAGGUAGGUGGAAUUCUUGGUGUAGGGGUAAAAUCCGUAGAGAUCAAGAGGAAUACUCAUUGCGAAGGCGACCUGCUGGAACAUUACUGACGCUGAUUGCGCGAAAGCGUGGGGAGCAAACAGGAUUAGAUACCCUGGUAGUCCACGCCCUAAACGAUGGAUGCUAGUUGUUGGAGGGCUUAGUCUCUCCAGUAAUGCAGCUAACGCAUUAAGCAUCCCGCCUGGGGAGUACGGUCGCAAGAUUAAAACUCAAAGGAAUAGACGGGGACCCGCACAAGCGGUGGAGCAUGUGGUUUAAUUCGAAGAUACACGAAGAACCUUACCUAGGCUUGACAUUGAGAGAAUCCGCUAGAAAUAGUGGAGUGUCUGGCUUGCCAGACCUUGAAAACAGGUGCUGCACGGCUGUCGUCAGCUCGUGUCGUGAGAUGUUGGGUUAAGUCCCGCAACGAGCGCAACCCCCUUUCUUAGUUGCUAACAGGUUAUGCUGAGAACUCUAAGGAUACUGCCUCCGUAAGGAGGAGGAAGGUGGGGACGACGUCAAGUCAUCAUGGCCCUUACGCCUAGGGCUACACACGUGCUACAAUGGGGUGCACAAAGAGAAGCAAUACUGCGAAGUGGAGCCAAUCUUCAAAACAUCUCUCAGUUCGGAUUGUAGGCUGCAACUCGCCUGCAUGAAGCUGGAAUCGCUAGUAAUCGCAAAUCAGCCAUGUUGCGGUGAAUACGUUCCCGGGUCUUGUACUCACCGCCCGUCACACCAUGGGAGUUGUGUUUGCCUUAAGUCAGGAUGCUAAA